Molecule: ribosomal RNA, 374 nt
Filed under: Oziotelphusa bouvieri
Lineage: Eukaryota; Metazoa; Arthropoda; Malacostraca; Decapoda; Parathelphusidae
Description: partial 28S ribosomal RNA
Source: RNAcentral
AACCGAUGAAGGGUGUCAGUACUACGUGCCGCGUUAAGAGCCAAACGGGUGGGACCUCGAAGGUCGAACCGAGGGGAUUCAGCUCGUCGGCCAGAGCCGGCUGGGCGGGGGAUUCGCUGAGGCGACCCAGGAACUCUUGGGCGUGCCCCCGUCCGAGCUGGCGCCGGCGGGCGUAUUUCCCCUCGUGACGUAGGUCGCCGCGACCCGUUGCUGGGGACGUCGAAGGCCCGGGCGGACUGGUACCCCGACGCCGUGCGUUCAUAGCGCCGACGAAGGGGGAAACCUCCGGUGUCCUGGCUGCCCUGCGACGGUCGUGCAAAUGAGGGGCUCUUGCCAGCCACUCUCGCGGCGUGCAAAAGUACGGAGCCUCAGCC